CGUCAAUGAGAGAGAAACAUCGGUCAGCUGCCUCCCAACCUUACAGUAGAGGUUGAGUAGUAGUAUAUUUCUCCUACAUAG
Molecule: small nucleolar RNA, 81 nt
Filed under: Myotis lucifugus (little brown bat)
Lineage: Eukaryota; Metazoa; Chordata; Mammalia; Chiroptera; Vespertilionidae
Description: Small nucleolar RNA U109 (ENSMLUG00000024926.1)
Source: RNAcentral